Sturnus vulgaris (Common starling) is the source of this 323-nucleotide non-coding RNA. NCBI's taxonomy places the organism in Eukaryota, Metazoa, Chordata, Aves, Passeriformes, Sturnidae. The record is from RefSeq and is a predicted model, not a curated record.
ACGGGUCUCCUUCAGUGCUUUCUGAAGACCUCAUUUCACUUUGCCUAUUCUCAUAUAGAUUAACUGGUGCCAUAAAUGUCUCACAGAUAAAGCCCUACUAUGACUUUCCAUCAGCUGUGAACAUGAGAGCUGUAGUCUUCCUUCUUGGUGCAUCUAAAUAGCCCCAAAACAGCUGAAGGAAAUGGCAAUUCCAAGUCAUCUUCAAGCUAUGGUCCAGGGCAGCUGCUCUUUGGUAAGGCAGAGAAACAUGGUCAAAGAAAUCACUGCAGCUUUUUCUCUUAAAGGUCAUAGUACAUGUUUUCAUGGAUGCAAGCACUGGGUUU